RNAcentral lists this unclassified non-coding RNA (195 nucleotides) under uncultured Tuber. RNAcentral describes it as "sequence contains ITS2". Lineage: Eukaryota; Fungi; Ascomycota; Pezizomycetes; Pezizales; Tuberaceae. The record is from RNAcentral. RNAcentral also lists the same sequence under 1 other name.
CAAACCCACUCAUAAAUAUUAUGGUAUUGAUGGAAGUGAACUGAGUCAAACAAUGUACUUGGGUCACCCCGUUGAAAUGCAUAGGCAGGACAAUAAACCUCUGCAAUGAACUUAGUAACUGUCUGAAAGACACAAACCAGUUCCUUGUUGGGUGCAGACCUUGCUUCCAUGGACCUCCAUCCAAGACGAAUUCUG